This 67-nucleotide transfer RNA is filed under the name Marmota monax (woodchuck). RNAcentral describes it as "tRNA.Ala". Lineage: Eukaryota; Metazoa; Chordata; Mammalia; Rodentia; Sciuridae. The record is from RNAcentral.
GGAUUGUGGCUCAGCGGUAGACUGCUCGCCUAGCACGGGCGGGACCCGUGUUCAAUCCUCAGCACCA